Molecule: non-coding RNA, 361 nt
Organism: Taeniopygia guttata (zebra finch)
Lineage: Eukaryota; Metazoa; Chordata; Aves; Passeriformes; Estrildidae
Source: RefSeq, a predicted model, not a curated record
GUCCCUGUGUCACACCCAGGUGACAUCCAUGUCCUUGCGUCACACUCGUGUCACCGUGCCAGCUGUGUGACACAUCCAGGUGACAUCAGUGUCACUGUGCCAGCUCCGUGUCCUUGUGUCACAUCUGUCACUGUGCCAGCUCUGGGUGACACCUCCAGGUGACACCGUGGUGACAUCCAGGUGACAUUGGUGUCCCUGUGCCACAUCCAGGUGACACCUCCAGGUGACAUCCGUGUCACUGUCCCAGCGUCACAGCUGUGUCCUGUGCCAGCUCUGGGUGACACCUCCAGGUGACAUCGUGUCCCUGUCCCAGCUCCGUGUCCCUGUGUCACAUCUCUGUCACCGUGCCAGUUCCGUGUGA